GGGCCCGCACAAGCGGUGGAGUAUGUGGUUUAAUUCGAUGCAACGCGAAGAACCUUACCAGGGUUUGACAUCCUGCGAAUCUCUUGGAAACAGGAGAGUGCCUUCGGGAACGCAGUGACAGGUGGUGCAUGGCUGUCGUCAGCUCGUGUCGUGAGAUGUUGGGUUAAGUCCCGCAACGAGCGCAACCCACGUCUUUAGUUGCCAGCAUUUAGUUGGGCACUCUAGAGAGACUGCCGGUGAUAAGCUGGAGGAAGGUGGGGAUGACGUCAAGUCCUCAUGGCCCUUACGUGUUGGGCUACACACGUGCUACAAUGGUAUAUACAACAGGAAGCAAGACGGCGACGUUAAGCAAAUCCUCAAAAGAUACCUCAGUUCGGAUUGCACUCUGCAACUCGAGUGCAUGAAGCUGGAAUUACUAGUAAUCG
This 425-nucleotide ribosomal RNA is filed under the name uncultured bacterium. RNAcentral's name for it is "bacterial SSU rRNA". It matches the Rfam family "Bacterial small subunit ribosomal RNA", at positions 917 to 1344 of the family's 1533-position model. The record is from RNAcentral.